CUCUCUCUCUCUCUUUCUCAUUAAUAAAAAACCCUAAUUCAUCAUUUCCUUCUAUCAUCGCCCCUUCUCUUUAUCAUCGAGUUUCUUUUGUCUUCCCCCUUCAUCAUCCUCUGCAAACCCUUCCUUCGAUCAUCGCCCCUUUUUUUAUCAUCGAGUUUCUUUUGUCUUCCCCCUUCAUCAUCCUCUGUAAACCCUAAAGGAAUCUACACCAGUUCAUCGAGGAUUACUGAUUCAAUCCGAUGGAAUAAUGGAUCUUACAAAUGUCGUUGUUAUUUUGCAAGCAACAGAGUCCCAAUCAUGUUGAACGAAAACCCGCUGAAGAUAGCCUCAAUCAGGUAUAAAAGUUAUGUUUUUUUUUAAUUCAUUAAACUUCCUUUCUCACGCAACAAUUUGAUGCUAAUAUUACAGUUUCAUCGUUUUGUCAGGCUAGGGUUUAUUUUGGUUCAGAUAUGUUCAAGUUAGGAUUUUUUUAGUCAGAUUUACGGACGUCAGUUAUUUUUGUUUUAUUAGAAUUAGGGUUUCAUUUCAUCUUGAUGUAAGUGACAAUGUUUAAUUCAAUUAUCAAUUCAGAUUAGGGUUUGUUUUGGUUCAUAUUUUUUGAGAUUAGGAUUUUUAUUCAGAUUUUUUUAACAUUUCUGCUUACAAAUGAUGCAAAACUUUUUAGACAAAGCAUAUUAUGGAUCCCCUAUUGCUAAUAAGUGAUUUUUAGAUGCCAUGUUUCUUUGAUUUCUUUGUUCAUACUACCUAUUGGUAUAAAAUCGUUGGUAGACUGUGAAGUUAGUGUGUAGUUUUUCAAAUAGUAUCCAUUGUAAUCUCAAUUCAGAACCCUAAUCUUCCAGCCUCCAUCGUCGUUCUUCUCCAAUCGAUGAACUAAUCAGGUACGCAUUCAGAUUACAAUUUCUUUUGGAUCGUUGAAUUGAAGUAUGAAGACAAUUAAUUCAACAGGUUUGGGUUACAUAACUAUCAAGCAUUCUUUUGUUAUUAUAUAUGAUGAGAACGAAUCUUCCACUUAUUAUUUUAGGGAACACCAUUUGGCCAGAUUUUUCGCUACAUUCGUUGCCGUUGCUGGAAAAAAAAACUAGGAAGACCGUGGGUGAGAAUCUGGACUUACCUUUUAGCUUUCAAAAUCGUUAUCAAUCAGCGUUAGUUGCUGUUACUUUAUUCAGGUGCUUGCGUGGGCAUAUGUAUAUAAUAAACACGAUACAUGGGAGCAGUUCUAUAUUUACUCGAUAUGUACACCAUUAGGGUCCCAAAUGUUGUACUUGAUAAAAAAGAAUUCAAGUGAAAAAGUUGCACUUGAUUGAAGACCAGUGAUUAGCUUUUGAUAUCUUCUACAUACAGCUCAUGCUAAAUCGUUCAUAGAUGUGCGAUUUUUAGAAGAAUUGUACAACAAAUACAAAGAUCUUUUUGUUGAUAUCCGCAUAGCUGAUGGGGUGGUCGGCUGGUUCGGUUGACAACUCAAAAUGUGUUCAGGUCAGAAAUUGUCCAAACCGUUUCUGAACAAAACUGGUUCGGGUCAAAACGUGUUAUGAAAUAAAUGAGUUAAAGGGUAAUCAUUUUGGGUAACAAAACAGAUUCGGGUCAUAAUGGGUAUGAAUGAAAUGUGUUACGGGUAAGGGUUUAGUAUAACAAAACAGGUUCAGGUCAAAACAGGUUAGGAGAUAGCUGAAUUAGGGUUGUUGUUUUAAAAAACAUUAAGAUGUUCAAGUCUAAAUGGGCAAGGGCAAUAUGGAGUUGGUAUAUAAAAAAGUAACAAAAUAGAUCCACCUGCUACCGGCGAUAAUGGUAUCCAUAUUCUAAUUUUCUUUCAAUUCACUUUUUUCACAUAUAUUGUGUUUGAUGUAUGUUCAAUAAAAUGAAGCUGGAAUGGCUAGGGUGUCUUUAAAUGUUGUUAAAGUUGCAUCUCUAUACAUGUUUUGCCUAGCACAGGUUUGGGUGGAAAAAAACCUGCUUACACGUUUAACUAUUUAAGGUGGCCUUUUUGAAAAAAAGUAUUAGAUUGGUUUGGUCAAAAGGGGUAAGGGUAACAAAAAAGUUCAAGUCGAAUGGUUAGGGUGACCGUUUUGGCUAAAUAUCAUUUUUGUUUCGAGUCAAAAGGCGUAGGGUACAUUAAGUAAUAGUAACUUUUAAACUGAACCCAUUUUGUCCCGAACCUAUUGUGAUUAGAAACUGCUUUGACCUAACCAAAUUGUACAUGUUUUACCAACGGCAAGUUCUGACCCGUUACAUGAUCCGUCCGUUUUAACUUUUUUUUAAAAAAAUAGGCCAAACAUGGAUUUGUGCGUUGAUUGCGUAAAACCUUCAAUUCGAAGAUAAUUAAAAAAAUGAAAAGAUCAUGGAGCUACAAAAUUACUAAAAACCUAUUAUGUUCGUGAAUGCAUAAAACUGAAUCACACUGUACAUGAGGACAUUUCUUGAUUCAUGAAGGAAUCAUGCCUUUUACUCAACCGCAAUCCAGGCUUCCUUUAAUUCUGAUCAACGGUGCAUCAGAACAAUCCUUGAUUAAUGAAGGAAGCGACAGUGAUUUCAACCCAGGCGUUUCGGCUGUGUUCGAUUCUGACCAAAAACACUCCUGAAUUAGAUUGUUGCAGCCAACUCCAUUUGGUCAUGUCGGGGUCCGUUCAUGGAUGCAAGUCCUUUCGGACUGAGCUUAUUUGGUCUGAACGGAAAGCCCUUUCAAACCAAGUGGGACUGUGGAAAACUUCUUUGCUAAGAGGUAUUGGUUUUGGAACACUUCAACAGUUCAUGUGAACAGUAAGUUUAAUGCAUAUAUUUUAGGGAGAAAAAAAAACACAAUUGUAUUUAGUGUUUAUAAAUUUGAAUAACUAAUAUAUUUUUUAUUUUUAUAUUUAUUUAUUAUUGAUUGUUAAUAUUAAUUAUUAAGUAUUAAAUUUUAUCUAAUCAAAUAUAAUAUCUAAUUUUGUUUAGUGACUUUCGUUUCAAAAAUUCUAAAUUUUCUUUGGCUUUGUCACAAAUCUAAAAUAUAAUAAAAAAUAUUUGGUUAAUGGUCAAUUGUGGAGUAAAAAGAUAGGAAACUAUUUGAUUUUGCUACAUUAAAUGGUUAAUUAAAGAUAAUUUUAGUGAGUAUCAUAGUGUGAACAUAACUCUUCAAAAUUUUAAUGCAAAUGGUUUAGUGGCAAAGUUAGAUUCUGUGGAGGAAAAGGGCAAAGGAUGAUAGGUAGAAGUGGUGACUUGAUACAUCCGGUAAAUUUAUGGUUAAGAGCAUUUUAACAAGACUGCGCAGUUGUGGAUAAUGACUUCACAUUUAAUGGAAUAAUUGGGUGUCGUUAAAGGUUAAUUUUUUUUUUUAGUUUGGAGGAUGGCAAGGAACCAAGUAGCUACAAAAUAAAAGAAAAACAAAAUAUAUAACUGAUCAAUUUAUUUGUACAAUUUUAUUUAUCUACUAAUAAUUAAUCUAAAUAACUUCCUCGAGCCCGGGCUACAUUUCCUUUCUAAACCAGCAAAAAUUUAUGGUGGAGAAGGGAAAGAGGAUAAUUUAGAGGUUCAAAGUGUUACUUAGGCUAAUAGAUGGUUAAACUUAGGUUUUUAUGAUCUGAUAUAUAUUAUUAUCUUAGGUUGUUAUGUUAUUAAGGAUUGGGGCAAAAUAUAGGCAAAUGGGUCAAAAUGAGUAAUCUUAACUGUCAUAUUUUAUUUCGUUUUCGAAUUAGUGUAUAUAUAUACACACACAUACAUAUGUAAUCAAAACCUGUGUUGUUGAUUGUAGCCAUUUAAGCGCUUCAGUUACGUUUUGGUUGUUGUUGAUUGUAGCCAUUUAAGCGCUUCAGUGACGUUUUGGUCAGGUUUUGUGGUGGUUCCGGCUAAACACGAAUUGGUUUUUUAGACAUUUUGGGUACUCAUCUCUAACUAUCUGUUUAUUCAUGUCACAUUCAGUGUUAAGCUCCAUGAGAGGUGAUGAUGCAAAGAAAAUUUGCCCCGAGUUUCAAUUGGUACGUGAUAAAGCUGAGUUGAGCAUAAUGAAGUUGGACAUGAUAUGCAUUGGAGUGGCUCAAACCAUAUGACACCGACACCUUUAGUACUGGUACAAAUUCUGUAGCAUAGGGUACUACUUCAGUAGCAGAUAAGAUACAAGAGCAAAUAAGUAUCAGUUUCGAUUACUCAAUGUUCAUGUAUUGUUUUUAUUUAAUGUAAUUAUACCAGUUGUUUCAAUAGCCAGAUGUUCUUUAUUUUAAAAUCAAAGAUUAU
Helianthus annuus (common sunflower) is the source of this 4203-nucleotide long non-coding RNA. RefSeq lists it as uncharacterized. NCBI's taxonomy places the organism in Eukaryota, Viridiplantae, Streptophyta, Magnoliopsida, Asterales, Asteraceae. The record is from RefSeq and is a predicted model, not a curated record. The transcript has 6 exons.